AUANUUUGAUGAUGGCUCAGAACGAACGCUGGCGGCGUGCUUAAUACAUGCAAGUCGAACGAGAAAGUCCGGCUUCGGUUGGACAAGUAAAGUGGCGAACGGGUGAGUAACACGUGGAUAAUCUGCCCUUAAAUCUGGGAUAAUCCCCCGAAAGGAGGUCUAAUACCGGAUGAUACCCUUUAGUGGCAUCGCUAUGGGGUCAAAGGCGGGGUAACCUGCCGUUUAAGGAUGAGUCCGCGUCCCAUUAGCUUGUUGGUGAGGUAACGGCCCACCAAGGCUGCGAUGGGUAGCCGGCCUGAGAGGGUGAUCGGCCACACUGGGACUGAGAUACGGCCCAGACUCCUACGGGAGGCAGCAGUAGGGAAUAUUGCGCAAUGGACGAAAGUCUGACGCAGCAACGCCGCGUGGGUGAUGACGCUUCUUGGAGUGUAAAACCCUGUCAGUGGGAAAGAACCGUACGGGGAGUAACUGCCCCGUGCCUGACGGUGCCCGCAGAGGAAGUCCCGGCUAACUCCGUGCCAGCAGCCGCGGUAAUACGGGGGGGACAAGCGUUGUUCGGAUUUACUGGGCGUAAAGGGCGCGUAGGCGGACCUUCAAGUCGGGUGUGAAAACCGGCGGCUCAACUGCCGGCCUGCAUUCGAUACUGGAGGUCUUGAGUACAUGAGAGGAAAGCGGAAUUCCAGGUGUAGCGGUGAAAUGCGUAGAUACCUGGAAGAACACCAGUAGCGAAGGCGGCUUUCUGGCGUGAUACUGACGCUGAAGCGCGAAGGCUAGGGGAGCAAAC
This 784-nucleotide ribosomal RNA is filed under the name uncultured bacterium. RNAcentral describes it as "bacterial SSU rRNA". It matches the Rfam family "Bacterial small subunit ribosomal RNA", at positions 8 to 773 of the family's 1533-position model. The record is from RNAcentral.